Molecule: ribosomal RNA, 1064 nt
Filed under: fungal sp. ARIZ AZ1036
Lineage: Eukaryota; Fungi
Also listed under: 1 other name
Description: eukaryotic LSU rRNA
Rfam family: Eukaryotic large subunit ribosomal RNA (bases 474-1064)
Source: RNAcentral
GGAUCAUUACAAGUGACCCCGGUCUAACCACCGGGAUGUUCAUAACCCUUUGUUGUCCGACUCUGUUGCCUCCGGGGCGACCCUGCCUUCGGGCGGGGGCUCCGGGUGGACACUUCAAACUCUUGCGUAACUUUGCAGUCUGAGUAAACUUAAUUAAUAAAUUAAAACUUUUAACAACGGAUCUCUUGGUUCUGGCAUCGAUGAAGAACGCAGCGAAAUGCGAUAAGUAAUGUGAAUUGCAGAAUUCAGUGAAUCAUCGAAUCUUUGAACGCACAUUGCGCCCCCUGGUAUUCCGGGGGGCAUGCCUGUUCGAGCGUCAUUUCACCACUCAAGCCUCGCUUGGUAUUGGGCAACGCGGUCCGCCGCGUGCCUCAAAUCGACCGGCUGGGUCUUCUGUCCCCUAAGCGUUGUGGAAACUAUUCGCUAAAGGGUGUUCGGGAGGCUACGCCGUAAAACAACCCCAUUUCUAAGGUUGACCUCGGAUCAGGUAGGGAUACCCGCUGAACUUAAGCAUAUCAAUAAGCGGAGGAAAAGAAACCAACAGGGAUUGCUCUAGUAACGGCGAGUGAAGCAGCAAUAGCUCAAAUUUGAAAUCUGGCGUCUUCGACGUCCGAGUUGUAAUUUGUAGAGGAUGCUUCUGAGUAACCACCGACCUAAGUUCCUUGGAACAGGACGUCAUAGAGGGUGAGAAUCCCGUAUGCGGUCGGAAAGGUGCUCUAUACGUAGCUCCUUCGACGAGUCGAGUUGUUUGGGAAUGCAGCUCUAAAUGGGAGGUAAAUUUCUUCUAAAGCUAAAUAUUGGCCAGAGACCGAUAGCGCACAAGUAGAGUGAUCGAAAGAUGAAAAGCACUUUGGAAAGAGAGUUAAAAAGCACGUGAAAUUGUUAAAAGGGAAGGGAUUGCAACCAGACUUGCUCGCGGUGUUCCGCCGGUCUUCUGACCGGUCUACUCGCCGCGUUGCAGGCCAGCAUCGUCUGGUGCCGCUGGAUAAGACUUGAGGAAUGUAGCUCCCUCGGGAGUGUUAUAGCCUCUUGUGAUGCAGCGAGCGCCGGGCGAGGUCCGCGCU